Molecule: ribosomal RNA, 3993 nt
Filed under: Triticum aestivum (bread wheat)
Lineage: Eukaryota; Viridiplantae; Streptophyta; Magnoliopsida; Poales; Poaceae
Description: partial small subunit ribosomal RNA
Source: RNAcentral
AUGCCAUUAGCUGCUAAUGACCCCUUUCAAGAAAAGAAAAAAUGUUGUAGCCCACGUCUUCAUCAAACUGCAUGCACGACGCCACUCCUCUGCUAUCGACGCCAUCGCAGGGGCCGGGUCCACCGCCCCGUCCGCCGCUCCUUCUCUGCUGCACCACAGACGCUAGCGCGGAUCGCCGUCGCCGCCUGCCGCUCCUCCUCUAAUUCUAGACGGACGCAAGCUCGGAUCAUUGUCGCCUCCUCCGGCCGCUCAUCCUAUGCCGCCCCAUGGUCUCGACGCCGGAGGCUCUCCUCUUGGUCGGCUGCUGCCCCCACGGAUGCGAGCUCCCGCCGCUCCUCCUUUUCUGCCCCACGGGCUCACCGCCGGCCGCUCUCCCUUCGUCGGUUGCUGCUCUAUCAGGCGAAGGCUCUCCUCUGCAUCGGAUCUGGCAUCCUGAGCCUUCCAACAAUCGGAUCCGGUGAGAUUUGCCACCUCCUGCUGCCGUCCAUGUGUAGCUCGUCGACUUCACCCAGGAUGGCCACCAGGAUGAGUCGACGACCUCUGCCUCAUAGUUGUCUUCCCCGAGAGCUGACGCUGUCUCCAUGCCGCACGAGUACACCUGCAAUAUCGAUGGACACUAAGUACUACUGCCAAUCAUCAAUGAAGUCAACGAACAACCAGACCAGAAAGGCGUGGAGCUUGAGCUUGAGCUGCAGCGACAAUGACAACUUGGGCGUCAACUUCAAAAAACAACAGUUCAAUAAAUGCCCCAAUCUAUUUUAUCUAGGCAGCAUGUAUUUGGUCAAUGCUUCAAAUCACCAGACCUUGGCGCUAUUCCUUGUCAUAGAGGAGCACAGAAGUAUGAUCAUGACCCUGCUCAAGUUCGGCCUCACUACUGUCGCUGUAGCUGCUUCUGUGAGUCUCUAUAAUCUUCUUCGCCACUGGUUCAGUAACCCUCUCGGUUUUGUUCUCUCCUCUUCUCUUGUGCUCUCUGACCCAGACAUUGAUCGAUGUGACUCUUGUGAUGCCAGCCAUCAAGCUUCUCGUGCUUUGGUUACUGCUAAUGCUUGGCUCCUAAUGUGUCAGCCAUCAGUGACCGCAAGUUACCACAGACAAAUUGGGCAGCCCCAGUGCAUGCAGCUCCCGCUUGCGCAGGGUCUGGGGAAGGGUCCGACCACUUUGGGUCUAUUGUACGCAGCCUUUCCCUACAUUUCUAACUUUAUCAUAGUAGUUUCCUUCUAUAAAUUUCUUUCACAGAUAGUGCUCCUCGACGACGAAUCCUGUGCACGAUCCCCCACCGGGCAACCGCUGCUACAAGCAACCGCCGCCCACUGCAACCGCGCGCACGACCCCCUCCCUCUUAUCCAGAUCGAUUUGGUUGGUGUAUCCACAGGCAUGUUGUCUCCACCUAAGAGCCCGAUGGCCGAAUCGGUGCAAGAAAAUGAUAUAUCAGAUGUUCUAUCUGAUAUUCGCUUAGAGCUUGAUGGAGAAGAUGGUAAUAAGGUUGAUGAGGCUGCGAAUACGCCUGAGGACAUCCCUGCUGCGAAUACGCCUGAGGUCAUUCCUACUCGCAACCAGAGGUCUAAGGCAUUGAACGACAGGCAAAGUCAGCCUGCCAGCAAUCCUUCUAGCCCUGUUGGAAGGGGUGAGCAUGAUAUCGGCUCUUUGGAACUUUCAGAGACGCAGUCACAGUCCGUUGAUGGUACAGAGGCUGUGACUCAACCUGAGGAUGUCGCUGAUCAGCUGGAGGCUGACAAGUUAAGGGUGGCAGAGAAAAUAGCAGCUGCUCGAAAUCGCAAGUCAAAGGCAUUGCACGAUAUUUCAUCUCAAUGCAUGGAUAUAGUUGUUCAUGAUAGUGCUGGUGUUUCUGAUGGCCCUCCGAGUCCUGUAAACCCUGUCCCUGUAAAAAGAUUAGGACAACUUGUACGAAGACAAUCACCUGAUGUCGAUGGUAAACGGCAAAGUCCUAAAGUUAUUCAGAGAGGCAGCUCUGCAAAUCUUAAUGCUGCUGCUGCAAAAAAGGUGAAGGCAGCUAACCAGGUUGUGUCCAAGGCUAAGGCACCUGUUCAUAAGAAGAAGAAUGAUGUUCUUAAGCGUAAGGAGAAGGUUUUGUCCAAGGGCCAUCAAACUAGAGGUAGCACAAAGAAGCUACCUUGUGCUACUCGCAAAUCUGUGCAUUUUGCAAAGGAUGAUGAUUUUGAGCCCGAUGAUGGUGAUGAUGGUGAUGAAGAAGGCGAUGAUGACGAACCUUAUGUUUUUGAAGAGGUUUCUGAUUCUGGAGAUGAUAUCGGGAAGUAUGAGUUUGUGGAGAUGCCUUUCAAGAGGAAGAGAGGCGGGAAAGGUGAGCCUAGCAACAAAGUUGAAAAGGUGGCGAAAAAGCGCUUCAACACCACGAUUAGGUGCCCUUUGAAGGAGGUUGCUCUUUCUGUUGCAUUGUUGAAGGAACAUCACUUGAAUGUUCUUCAUACUGCAGAUCUUGUUCAUAUCAAAGACUUCAAGAUCAAAUCCAACAUUAAUCGCCGUCUUGCUUGUUUUCUGAUGUAUAAUAUUGAUCCUAGGACCAUGAUCCUUGAUCUUGGUGGAAACAAAGUUCUGGAGAUCAAUGCAGAUGUCAUUGAGAAGCUUUUUGCACUGCCUAAUGGUGACGACUCUCCUCCAAGGCCUUCAGAGGAUUAUGGUGCUGCUUUGGUGAAGUUAAAGGUUGAGCUUAGGAUUCCAAGGAAUAAAGAUAUAAAAGCUGAUGAGCUUCGGAAUAUUCUGUCGCAGCUUGUCGAUGAUCCUCUUAGGGAUGGCCUUGCUCUGAAGGUGUUUGAUCUCAUUUUGUACAACAAGUUUUUCUGCCCAGGGUAUUCUCUGCGUGUGAAGAAGGAGGCGACAAUGGUUGAAGACUUUGACAUUGUCAAGCUGGAAAACAUGCAGAUUUGUCAGCUAAUUGUUGACGAGCUGAGACUUGCUAUUGAAGCCUGGCAGAAAGCAGGUGCAGAAUGGAGAGCUCUUCCUGGUUGUGUUAUUGCGCCUGUUCUAGCUUAUUUGGACUAUCUGGACCACCGCUCCAUUAACCGUAAAGAUAAGAGGUACCCCCGUGCCAUCUACAUGGAUCCUAGGAAGCUUAUGAAACUUGCCAAUCUGGAUAUUUUGAAGAAAGGUGGCCCGGACCCUAGAUCUUGGAUCUUUGGUAAGUUGCCGUGGAAGGGGCGCAACGAUAUUAUCUAUUUUGAUGAAAGCGUUGAAGUGACUGGUACCAAUUAUUAUGUGUAUCCCAAGAAGAGGAAGUUUGAACCGUCCUUAGGAAUUGUUCAUGCUAGUAGUCCAAAGGCAGUUCAGUUGUCACUUCAUCUGCCUACCACCAGCAGCCGUCUGAGCAGCACUACUGGAGUUUUGCCCCCUGAGCUUGCAUUUAAUGAAGAUGCUCACAAGAUUUUGUUGGAUGCUGAGGCUGUCAAUCUUGAUCAUUUGCAGAAAUAUUUAUCCCAGAUCAAGGAUGGUUUUGUAAUGUACAAGACCAUGCAAGAUGGUCGCUGCAAGCCUUUCGAAGAGCAUGCACAAAAGUAUCUCACGGAGAUUUCUAAGGGAGAUUGUCCUACUUCUGGCGGAGAUGCUGGUGCUGCUGCUGCCGGAGUGCAUACAUGUGCUGGUGGGGAAGGGGAACACAAUGAUUCUACUAUUCCUCAUGUAGAUAAGGUGAGAUAUCUUUUGUACAAUGUUUCAACGCGAGAAGAUCAUCAUGAAGAGAUAGAUGUACAACUUACUGGUGAUGUUGGAGUUGCGAAGAAACCAGAAGCUGGUGUUGCUGAAGCUGCUCAUGAAGAUCCAGUUGAAGUUGCCGCCGGUCAUAGUGAUUCUACUACAGUCACAACUACUCUUGAGAAGAUAUCCGCUGCUGUUGAUGCUGGCAUUGAGCGUGAAGCUAUUCCCGUAUCGGAUGCACACGAGAUCCCAUCUGUUGUUGUGCCGGAUCUUGUAGUUAAAGUUGCGCCAUCUUCUGCAGACAAAGACAUAGGCAAGAACAAAUAA